CUCUCUCACACCCUCACUUCUUCCUCCAUUUUCUCUAACCCUAACCUCCUUCCCUUCUCUCGACGAAAUUCACGAACCGCCGCCCCCGUCGCGUCUCAUGGAGGCUUCCGCCGUCGCCCACGCCACCUACCUCAAUCUCUCUCCGUCUCUCCUCCUCUCGUCCACUUCUCUUCUGAAUUGAACGGAAGAAUCCCCAAAUCGGGGGGGGGGGGGGGAGACGUCGAACCCUAGGCAAACAUUGAACGCUGUCGCCCUCCCCGUUGCGCCAGUCGUUGCGCCUCUUGUCGCGGCCAUGUCUAAAAGGUAAUCAGCAGAAGCAUGAAUAAAGCAUAAGAAGAGAGCAAGCUCAAAAUGAAUAAACUUGUAUGCAUUGCAUUCUUUUUGGAAGUGUUUUUCUAAACUGAUGCAUACAAAGUAGCUCGUUGCUAUACAUAGCAAUGCUCAGAUGAUACUAGAAGAAAGAGAAAAAGAUACAAAACAAAUAAUGAGCUGUCUCUUGAUUUAGCUCUUAUCCAAAUUGGUUGCUCCUUUCAGUAGCACAUCUUUCCAGCUAGGAAUAACUUGACAACAUGACAUGCUGGGAUCAGACGUGGCCUUGACUUCAUUUAGAGAUUGACUAACACAUGAUUCCACACUCACAUGGGCAUUUUUCUCAGCUUCAUCACCAGUGAGUUGGCACAGGUUAACAAGGUCGUCGGAAACAGGGUCGGGCCGUCGCGUGGACUUCCUCGCUCCCGGUGAUGACACGGCGUCGCCGCCGCCGCAGCCACAGCCACGGUCCGCAGCUCUUCCAGCGGUCCGCCAUCCAUCUCAUCGGCUCAGCGUUGGCGACCUUGCCGUUGGCGUCGCUCAUCCGCGGCGGAGGGAAAAAAAGGCGUCGACUCCUUCGAGUCCCGGUGAUACUCGAGGUUCCAGCCGCCCGUCGACCGUAGCUAAGUUUCUACUUGUUGAGGUUUUGAAUAAGAAUCAAAGGUUCCUAUGUUUAAUCUAGCUAAAACCUUAAGUUAGCGAAAUCCUUGUUCCAUUCGAUCCUCGUUUAAGACUGGAAAUUUUCAUUCACUACAUCUGGUGUUGAUUUCGUUGUGCUAUGAUUCCUCUGGUUUGGUUUAAUUAGUGCAUAUGUUUAGAGGAACUAUUGGUUUUAGCUUGGCAUGAGGAGACCUAUGUUUUAUCGAGCAUGAGUCUGAUUCUCUCGUUUCUAGCGUGGCUUAAGUGGUGUAUAGGCCGUAUUGUGAAGCAUUUAUCACUAUUAUGCUGUGUUUCCUAGUACGAGGUGUUACUACAUGAUGAUGUGACUAUAGUUUGAGUUUGAGAGGGUGGUGGUGUUACCUUCCUUGCACUACGAGGUCUCACUCACACCCUCUAGCUCACUGGUUGCUAGUUGAAAAUGUUGUGAUGGGAGGAAGUGAACCGAGGGAGGUAUAACAUAUAUAGGAGAGGUGUAACUGAAAGCCUGUAAGGCUGCUGGUGUGUGCAGUCGGACGGGGCCCUUAGGCUGUUCAAAGUUGGUUGAUCCUCCUGCAGCAUUGCAGGGCAUGUACUCGUGUAUUAAUGGACAUUGCAUCCCCCUUUUGCUGCUUCACUAGUUUCAGUUUGCCCUCUUGCUGCAUUCCACUGAAUUCUGUUGUGAAAAUUGCAGGUGCGAGCUGGUGUAGGGGCGGUUGGGCUAGGGUGCAGGAUGCUGCAGUUUUCCCUCUCUGAUCUGGUACACUCGGCAGUCCGUGGUGUCCAGGGAGAUGCAGCCUUCUAUCUUACCUAUUUAGGAAAUAAGAAUUGAUCGCACUUGCUGCCACCUUACUGAUCCGGCUGAGCCUAAAGGAGAGGCCCUAAGCUUAAUAGGAUAGGGUCAUCCGUAGUUCUCUUCCCCUCUUCCCCUUUUUUUUACAAGAGUAGUCGAACAUCUUAGUUCAGGAAAUGAGACUCAAGACAUCUUAGGGCCCGAACUUCUCAUGUAUAUUCUUUCCUUUAUUCCUGUCAUUAGGUAUUUUUUGUAAGCUAGCACAUAGCUUGGAAUAUUUAGCAUUGUAUUUCAUUUACUUACGGAAAUAAACGAACGCGCAUUCAUUCUUAAA
Long non-coding RNA from Salvia splendens (bonfire salvia), 2072 nucleotides. RefSeq lists it as uncharacterized. Lineage: Eukaryota; Viridiplantae; Streptophyta; Magnoliopsida; Lamiales; Lamiaceae. The record is from RefSeq and is a predicted model, not a curated record. The transcript is spliced from 3 exons.